AACUUUCAACAACGGAUCUCUUGGGUUCUCGCAUCGAUGAAGAACGCAGCGAAAUGCGAUAAGUAAUAUGAAUUGCAGAUAUUCGUGAAUCAUCGAAUCUUUGAACGCACAUUGCGCCCUUUGGUAUUCCAAAGGGCAUGCCUGUUUGAGCGUCAUUU
This 158-nucleotide ribosomal RNA is filed under the name Lodderomyces parapsilosis. RNAcentral describes it as "Candida parapsilosis 5.8S ribosomal RNA". It matches the Rfam family "5.8S ribosomal RNA". Rfam says of the family: 5.8S ribosomal RNA (5.8S rRNA) is a component of the large subunit of the eukaryotic ribosome. RNAcentral also lists the same sequence under 1 other name. The record is from RNAcentral. Lineage: Eukaryota; Fungi; Ascomycota; Pichiomycetes; Serinales; Debaryomycetaceae.